CAGUCGCCGCGGUAAUACGAAGGGUGCAAGCGUUACUCGGAAUUACUGGGCGUAAAGCGUGCGUAGGUGGUGGUUUAAGUCCGUUGUGAAAGCCCUGGGCUCAACCUGGGAAUUGCAGUGGAUACUGGGUCACUAGAGUGUGGUAGAGGAUAGUGGAAUUUCCGGUGUAGCAGUGAAAUGCGUAGAGAUCGGAAGGAACAUCUGUGGCGAAGGCGACUAUCUGGGCCAACACUGACACUGAGGCACGAAAGCGUGGGGAGCAAACAGGAUUAGAUACCCCGGUGUCCCUGUCUCUUAUACC
RNAcentral lists this ribosomal RNA (301 nucleotides) under uncultured bacterium. RNAcentral's name for it is "partial 16S ribosomal RNA". It matches the Rfam family "Bacterial small subunit ribosomal RNA", at positions 509 to 808 of the family's 1533-position model. The record is from RNAcentral.